UCAAGUGAAAUAAGGGCGUUCGGUGGAUGCCUUGGCUCUGAGAGGCGAUGAAGGACGUGGCACGCUGCGAUAAGCUUCGGGGAGGCGCGAGCACCCUUUGAUCCGAAGAUUUCCGAAUGGGGAAACCCACCUUCGAGACUGGAGAUUCGGUACCGUGGUGCAAAUCACGGUAUCUGGUUUCCAGUUUCAUCAAGAAGGUAUUCUAACCUGAAUACAUAGGGUUAGAAAGCAAACCCGGUGAAGUGAAACAUCUCAGUAACCGGAGGAAAGGACAUCAAACGAGACUCCGUUAGUAGUGGCGAGCGAACGCGGACUAGGCCAGUGCCUUGUCGACGGAAACCAGAAUGGUCCUGGAAAGGCCAGCAUUACGGGUGAUAGCCCCGUAUGGGUAAGAAUAGACAAGGACUCGAGUAGGGCGGGACACGUGAAAUCCUGUCUGAACAUGGGGGGACCACCCUCCAAGCCUAAGUACUCCUCAGAGACCGAUAGUGAACCAGUACCGUGAGGGAAAGGUGAAAAGCACCCCGACGAGGGGAGUGAAAUAGACCCUGAAACCGAGCGCCUACAAGCAGUCGGAGCCCUUCGGGGUGACGGCGUACCUUUUGUAUAAUGGGCCAACGACUUAGUGUGACGAGCGAGCUUAAGCCGAUAGGCGUAGGCGCAGCGAAAGCGAGUCUGAAUAGGGCAUCGAGUUCGUCGCAUUAGACCCGAAACGCGUUGAUCUACCUAUGGGCAGAGUGAAGGUACGGUAACACGUACUGGAGGCUCGAACUCUUGAAUGUUGAAAAAUUCUGAGAUGACCUGUUGGUAGGGGUGAAAGGCCAAUCAAAACGCGUGAUAGCUGGUUCUCCGCGAAAUCUAUUUAGGUAGAGCGUCGAAUGAUUACCGCCGGGGGUAGAGCACUGGAUGGGCUAGGGGGACUUACCGUCUUACCAAACCUAACCAAACUCCGAAUACCGGCGAGUACAGUUCGGCAGACACACUGUGGGUGCUAACGUCCAUGGUGAAAAGGGAAACAACCCUGACCGACAGCUAAGGUCCCCAAGUGGCGGCUAAGUGGGAAAGGAUGUGGGAUUGCUUAGACAACCAGGAAGUUGGCUUAGAAGCAGCCAUCUUUUAAAGAAAGCGUAACAGCUCACUGGUCAAGCGAUCCUGCGCCGAAAAUGUAACGGGGCUCAAGCCGCCCACCGAAGCUUCGGACUCCUCCGGGAGUGGUAGCGGAGCGUUCUGUAAGCCUGCGAAGGUGUACCGUGAGGUAUGCUGGAGGUAUCAGAAGCGAGAAUGUUGGCAUGAGUAGCGAUAAAGAGGGUGAGAGACCCUCUCGCCGAAAGACCAAGGGUUCCUGCGUAAAGCUAAUCUGCGCAGGGUUAGCCGGCCCCUAAGGCGAGGCCGAAAGGCGUAGUCGAUGGGAACCACGUUAAUAUUCGUGGGCCUGCGGGUAGUGACGGAUCUCGAAAGUCGUCGAAACUUAUCGGAUUGUUUCGGCGGCCUGGAGGUUCCAGGAAAUAGCUCCCGCGUAUAGACCGUACCCGAAACCGACACAGGUGGUCAGGUAGAGUAUACCUAGGCGCUUGAGAGAACUGUGCUGAAGGAACUCGGCAAAUUGCCCUCGUAACUUCGGGAGAAGAGGGCCUGUUCAGAACGCAAGUUUUGGACAGGGGCACAAAUCAGAGGGUGGCGACUGUUUAUCAAAAACACAGGGCACUGCGAAGCCGCAAGGCGACGUAUAGUGUCUGACUCCUGCCCAGUGCCUGAAGGUUAAGAGGAGAAGUGCAAGCUUUGAAUCGAAGCCCAGGUGAACGGCGGCCGUAACUAUAACGGUCCUAAGGUAGCGAAAUUCCUUGUCGG
RNAcentral lists this ribosomal RNA (1848 nucleotides) under mixed culture metagenome. RNAcentral describes it as "bacterial LSU rRNA". It matches the Rfam family "Bacterial large subunit ribosomal RNA", at positions 1 to 1975 of the family's 2925-position model. The record is from RNAcentral.